AGAAAAGUAAGCUAAAACAAGCUAAUGGGUUCAUACCCCAUAAAUAGAGCAUAAACCUCUCUUCUCUG
This 68-nucleotide transfer RNA is filed under the name Nasutitermes sp. AUS97. RNAcentral's name for it is "tRNA-Met". The record is from RNAcentral. Lineage: Eukaryota; Metazoa; Arthropoda; Insecta; Blattodea; Termitidae.